RNAcentral lists this ribosomal RNA (846 nucleotides) under Streptomyces sp. Sp080513G1-10. RNAcentral's name for it is "bacterial SSU rRNA". It matches the Rfam family "Bacterial small subunit ribosomal RNA", at positions 38 to 899 of the family's 1533-position model. The record is from RNAcentral. Lineage: Bacteria; Bacillati; Actinomycetota; Actinomycetes; Kitasatosporales; Streptomycetaceae.
GGCGGCGUGCUUAACACAUGCAAGUCGAACGAUGAACCACUUCGGUGGGGAUUAGUGGCGAACGGGUGAGUAACACGUGGGCAAUCUGCCCUGCACUCUGGGACAAGCCCUGGAAACGGGGUCUAAUACCGGAUAUGACCCUCGCAGGCAUCUGUGAGGGUGUAAAGCUCCGGCGGUGCAGGAUGAGCCCGCGGCCUAUCAGCUUGUUGGUGAGGUAACGGCUCACCAAGGCGACGACGGGUAGCCGGCCUGAGAGGGCGACCGGCCACACUGGGACUGAGACACGGCCCAGACUCCUACGGGAGGCAGCAGUGGGGAAUAUUGCACAAUGGGCGAAAGCCUGAUGCAGCGACGCCGCGUGAGGGAUGACGGCCUUCGGGUUGUAAACCUCUUUCAGCAGGGAAGAAGCGAAAGUGACGGUACCUGCAGAAGAAGCGCCGGCUAACUACGUGCCAGCAGCCGCGGUAAUACGUAGGGCGCAAGCGUUGUCCGGAAUUAUUGGGCGUAAAGAGCUCGUAGGCGGCUUGUCGCGUCGGUUGUGAAAGCCCGGGGCUUAACCCCGGGUCUGCAGUCGAUACGGGCAGGCUAGAGUUCGGUAGGGGAGAUCGGAAUUCCUGGUGUAGCGGUGAAAUGCGCAGAUAUCAGGAGGAACACCGGUGGCGAAGGCGGAUCUCUGGGCCGAUACUGACGCUGAGGAGCGAAAGCGUGGGGAGCGAACAGGAUUAGAUACCCUGGUAGUCCACGCCGUAAACGGUGGGCACUAGGUGUGGGCGACAUUCCACGUCGUCCGUGCCGCAGCUAACGCAUUAAGUGCCCCGCCUGGGGAGUACGGCCGCAAGGCUAAAA